This 436-nucleotide RNase P RNA is filed under the name Opitutaceae bacterium TAV3. RNAcentral's name for it is "RNase P RNA component class A". It matches the Rfam family "Bacterial RNase P class A". Rfam says of the family: Ribonuclease P (RNase P) is a ubiquitous endoribonuclease, found in archaea, bacteria and eukarya as well as chloroplasts and mitochondria. Its best characterised activity is the generation of mature 5'-ends of tRNAs by cleaving the 5'-leader elements of precursor-tRNAs. Cellular RNase Ps are ribonucleoproteins. The record is from RNAcentral. Lineage: Bacteria; Pseudomonadati; Verrucomicrobiota; Opitutia; Opitutales; Opitutaceae. RNAcentral also lists the same sequence under 1 other name.
UUUCGGGGCCAGAUCGUCGCUCCGAUGUUCUUUGCAGCAUGGGAGAGGAAAGUCCGGACACCGCAGGGCAGGACGCCGCACGAGCCGAGGCCGCAAGGCGGAGGCAAGUGCGGGCGGCGCGCGUCAAGGCGCGACCGACGGAGAGUGUCACAGAAAACAAACCACCAGACCGGCGAACGGGUAACCGUUUUUCGGUCGGGCAAGGGUGAAAAGGUGGGGUAAGAGCCCACCGCGUCGCGCAGCAAUGCCGGCGGCACGAAAAACCCCGUCCGGUGCAAGGCAAAAUAGGUGGCUGGGUGGCCCGCCCUUAAGCCACGGGUAUGCCGCAUCAGUCCGCAAGGACUGGAGCGGGCGCGAGUCCGCUAGAGAAAUGGCGAUCACCCGUCCUCCCCCCGGAGGACGGCGAACAUAAUCCGGCUUACGGCCCCGAAACCAA